CAAUGCUCAGCUGAGACUACAUG
RNAcentral lists this microRNA (23 nucleotides) under Monodelphis domestica (gray short-tailed opossum). RNAcentral's name for it is "mdo-miR-7369-5p". The record is from miRBase by way of RNAcentral. Lineage: Eukaryota; Metazoa; Chordata; Mammalia; Didelphimorphia; Didelphidae.